RNAcentral lists this ribosomal RNA (420 nucleotides) under uncultured bacterium. RNAcentral's name for it is "bacterial SSU rRNA". It matches the Rfam family "Bacterial small subunit ribosomal RNA", at positions 361 to 773 of the family's 1533-position model. The record is from RNAcentral.
AUCUUGCGCAAUGUGCGAAAGCGUGACGCAGCAACGCCGCGUGGGGGAAGACGGCCUUCGGGUUGUAAACCCCUUUCAGGAGAGACGAAGGUUCACCGGUGAAUAGCCGUGUGGAUUGACGGUACCUCCACAAGAAGCUCCGGCUAACUACGUGCCAGCAGCCGCGGUAAUACGUAGGGAGCAAGCGUUGUCCGGAAUCAUUGGGCGUAAAGCGCGCGUAGGUGGCCACAUAAGUCCGUUGUGAAAGUCAAAGGCUCAACCUUUGAAAGCCGAUGGAUACUGUGUGGCUAGAGUACGGAAGAGGCGAGUGGAAUUCCUGGUGUAGCGGUGGAAUGCGCAGAUAUCAGGAGGAACACCAAUAGCGAAGGCAGCUCGCUGGGACGUUACUGACACUGAGGCGCGAAAGCGUGGGGAGCGAAC